GGGGUUGUGGCUCAGUGGUAGAGCGCUUGCCUAGCAUGUGAGAAGCUCUGGGUCUGAUUCUCAGCACCA
RNAcentral lists this transfer RNA (69 nucleotides) under Ictidomys tridecemlineatus (thirteen-lined ground squirrel). Its description in RNAcentral is "Spermophilus tridecemlineatus (thirteen-lined ground squirrel) tRNA". It matches the Rfam family "tRNA". Rfam says of the family: Transfer RNA (tRNA) molecules are approximately 80 nucleotides in length. Their secondary structure includes four short double-helical elements and three loops (D, anti-codon, and T loops). Further hydrogen bonds mediate the characteristic L-shaped molecular structure. tRNAs have two regions of fundamental functional importance: the anti-codon, which is responsible for specific mRNA codon recognition, and the 3' end, to which the tRNAs corresponding amino acid is attached (by aminoacyl-tRNA synthetases). tRNAs cope with the degeneracy of the genetic code in two manners: having more than one tRNA (with a specific anti-codon) for a particular amino acid; and 'wobble' base-pairing, i.e. permitting non-standard base-pairing at the 3rd anti-codon position. Lineage: Eukaryota; Metazoa; Chordata; Mammalia; Rodentia; Sciuridae. The record is from Rfam by way of RNAcentral.